RNAcentral lists this ribosomal RNA (782 nucleotides) under uncultured marine bacterium. RNAcentral describes it as "bacterial SSU rRNA". It matches the Rfam family "Bacterial small subunit ribosomal RNA", at positions 14 to 794 of the family's 1533-position model. The record is from RNAcentral.
UGAUCCUGGCUCAGGAUGAACGCUAGCGGCAGGCUUAACACAUGCAAGUCGAGGGGUACAUGUAGCUGCUACAGAUGACGACCGGCGCACGGGUGCGUAACGCGUAUAGAACUUACCUUUUACAGAGGGAUAGCCUUUAGAAAUGAAGAUUAAUACCUCAUAGUAUUAUUGAUUGGCAUCAAUUAAUAAUUAAAGAUUUAUCGGUAAAAGAUGGCUAUGCGUCCUAUUAGCUAGAUGGUAAGGUAAUGGCUUACCAUGGCUACGAUAGGUAGGGGCCCUGAGAGGGGGAUCCCCCACACUGGUACUGAGACACGGACCAGACUCCUACGGGAGGCAGCAGUGAGGAAUAUUGGGCAAUGGAGGUAACUCUGACCCAGCCAUGCCGCGUGCAGGAAGACUGCCCUAUGGGUUGUAAACUGCUUUUAUACAGGAAGAAACACUCGUACGUGUACGAGCUUGACGGUACUGUAAGAAUAAGGACCGGCUAACUCCGUGCCAGCAGCCGCGGUAAUACGGAGGGUCCGAGCGUUAUCCGGAAUCAUUGGGUUUAAAGGGUCCGCAGGCGGUCAAUUAAGUCAGAGGUGAAAUCCCAUAGCUUAACUAUGGAACUGCCUUUGAUACUGGUUGACUUGAGUCAUAUGGAAGUAGAUAGAAUGUGUAGUGUAGCGGUGAAAUGCAUAGAUAUUACACAGAAUACCGAUUGCGAAGGCAGUCUACUACGUAUGUACUGACGCUCAUGGACGAAAGCGUGGGGAGCGAACAGGAUUAGAUACCCUGGUAGU